UACGUAGGGUGCGAGUGUUAAUCGGAUUUACUGGGCGUAAAGGGUGCGUAGGCGGCCAAAAAGUACUGAUGUGAAAUCUUGGAGCUCAACUCCGAAACUGCAUUGGAUACUGGUUGGCUCGAGGAAUGGAGGGAGACGUGGAAUUCUCGGUGUAGCAGUGAAAUGCGUAGAUAUCGAGAGGAACAUCAGUGGCGAAGGCGAGUCUCUGGACAUUUCCUGACGCUGAGGCACGAAAGCCAA
RNAcentral lists this ribosomal RNA (240 nucleotides) under uncultured bacterium. Its description in RNAcentral is "partial 16S ribosomal RNA". It matches the Rfam family "Bacterial small subunit ribosomal RNA", at positions 524 to 763 of the family's 1533-position model. The record is from RNAcentral.